Molecule: ribosomal RNA, 726 nt
Filed under: uncultured bacterium
Lineage: Bacteria
Description: bacterial SSU rRNA
Rfam family: Bacterial small subunit ribosomal RNA
Source: RNAcentral
UAACACGUGAGUGACCUGCCUUUUAGACUGGAACAACUUACCGAAAGGUGAGCUAAUGCCGGAUGAGUUAUAUAAGUGCAUGUUUAUAUAGGAAAAGUUGGGGAGACCUGACGCUGAAAGAUGGACUCGCGUCCCAUUAGCUAGUUGGUAGGGUAAUGGCCUACCAAGGCGACGAUGGGUAGCCGGCCUGAGAGGGUGGCCGGCCACACUGGGACUGAGACACGGCCCAGACUCCUACGGGAGGCAGCAGUGGGGAAUUUUGCGCAAUGCUCGUAAGAGUGACGCAGCGACGCCGCGUGAAUGACGAAGGCCUUCGGGUCGUAAAGUUCUUUCGACAGGGAAGAAAAUGCCUAUAAGUAACUGUGUAUGUAUUGACGGUACCUGUAUAAGCAGCCCCGGCUAACUCCGUGCCAGCAGCCGCGGUAAUACGGAGGGGGCGAGCGUUGUUCGGAGUGACUGGGCGUAAAGAGCACGUAGGCGGUGUUGUAAGUCAUUAGUCAAAGACUAGAGCUCAACUUUAGUAAGGCUAGUGAUACUAUAAUACUAGGGUAUCAGGGAGGAUUGCAGAAUUCCUGGUGUAGCGGUGAAAUGCGUAGAUAUCAGGAGGAAUACCGUUAGCGAAGGCGGCAAUCUGGCUGGAAACUGACGCUGAGGUGCGAAAGCGUGGGUAGCAAACAGGAUUAGAUACCCUGGUAGUCCACGCUGUAAACGAUGGAUGCUAGGUGU